Molecule: transfer RNA, 72 nt
Filed under: Ictidomys tridecemlineatus (thirteen-lined ground squirrel)
Lineage: Eukaryota; Metazoa; Chordata; Mammalia; Rodentia; Sciuridae
Description: Spermophilus tridecemlineatus (thirteen-lined ground squirrel) tRNA
Rfam family: tRNA
About the family: Transfer RNA (tRNA) molecules are approximately 80 nucleotides in length.
Source: Rfam by way of RNAcentral
GGAGAUGUAGCUCAGUGGUGGAGCACUUGUCUAGGAUACAAGAGGUCCUGAGUUCAAUCCCUGGCACCAUUA